UGCAAAGCACUUCAAGACCUAGAAAAACA
This 29-nucleotide non-coding RNA is filed under the name Mus musculus (house mouse). The record is from RNAcentral. Lineage: Eukaryota; Metazoa; Chordata; Mammalia; Rodentia; Muridae.